AGAUUGAACGCUGGCGGCAGGCCUAACACAUGCAAGUCGAGCGGCAGCACGGGUACUUGUACCUGGUGGCGAGCGGCGGACGGGUGAGUAAUGCCUAGGAAUCUGCCUGGUAGUGGGGGAUAACGCUCGGAAACGGACGCUAAUACCGCAUACGUCCUACGGGAGAAAGCAGGGGACCUUCGGGCCUUGCGCUAUCAGAUGAGCCUAGGUCGGAUUAGCUAGUUGGUGAGGUAAUGGCUCACCAAGGCGACGAUCCGUAACUGGUCUGAGAGGAUGAUCAGUCACACUGGAACUGAGACACGGUCCAGACUCCUACGGGAGGCAACAGUGGGGAAUAUUGGACAAUGGGCGAAAGCCUGAUCCAGCCAUGCCGCGUGUGUGAAGAAGGUCUUCGGAUUUGAAAGCACGUUUAAGUUGGGAGAAGGCAGGUUACCUAAUACGAUCUGUUUUGACGUUACCGACAGAAUAAGCACCGGCUAACUCUGUGCCAGCCAGU
This 496-nucleotide ribosomal RNA is filed under the name uncultured soil bacterium. RNAcentral describes it as "bacterial SSU rRNA". It matches the Rfam family "Bacterial small subunit ribosomal RNA", at positions 26 to 515 of the family's 1533-position model. The record is from RNAcentral.